AUUGAACGCUGGCGGCAGGCCUAACACAUGCAAGUCGAACGAGUGGCGGACGGGUGAGUAAUGCUUGGGAAACUGCCUGAUGGAGGGGGAUAACUACGGGAAACUGUAGCUAAUACCGCAUACCAUCGGAUGUGCCCAGGUGGGAUUAGGUAGUUGGUGGGGUAACGGCUCACCAAGGCGACGAUCCCUAGCUGGUCUGAGAGGAUGACCAGCCACACUGGGACUGAGACACGGCCCAGACUCCUACGGGAGGCAGCAGUGGGGAAUAUUGCGCAAUGGGGGCAACCCUGAUGCAGCCAUGCCGCGUGUAUGAAGAAGGCCUUCGGGUUGUAAAGUUCUUUCGGUAGGGAGGCGUUACCCACAGAAGAAGCACCGGCUAACUCCGUGCCAGCAGCCGCGGUAAUAC
RNAcentral lists this ribosomal RNA (406 nucleotides) under uncultured bacterium. RNAcentral describes it as "partial 16S ribosomal RNA". It matches the Rfam family "Bacterial small subunit ribosomal RNA", at positions 30 to 526 of the family's 1533-position model. The record is from RNAcentral.